Molecule: non-coding RNA, 1538 nt
Organism: Pelodiscus sinensis (Chinese soft-shelled turtle)
Lineage: Eukaryota; Metazoa; Chordata; Testudines; Trionychidae
Source: RefSeq, a predicted model, not a curated record
GGAAUCUGUGACUCUGGGAAGUUUUUGUCAUCAGUACCUGAAGAGGCAAAGCUUUUAAGGUCUCUUGCAGGCCCUCAUCUUCUGCACUCAGAAAGUCACCACAAACAGAAGUGCUGGUGAAAAUCAGAAGUCUAAUAUCUUCAGAAGCAUAAUGAUGUCCCAUAAAUGCUAAUGAAGAUAAGAUACUUAUGUGUAUUAUCAGCGCUUCUCCUUAGACAACCCAGGCACAAGCAAAUAGUAUUUUGUAUAGAAUCAAGAUUCCUCUGUUUUGUUUUGCCUCUCAUGAAGAACUUCAAACCUCAUGAACAGAUGGUGGAGGGAGUAAUAGCAUAUCAGCAGUUUGCACACUACUCCAGGUGCGUAACUUUCAUUUUGGUGUCUCUCAUCUUGAUUCUUCUGUAUUUGAGCAAAUCCUGAGGUACCAUUGCCGUCCAUAGCAUUUCCUUCCUAAGUAAACGUUUGUUCUGCUUAUCAUACAGCAUGCCACAUACUGUGUUUUGUCACAGAACAGAUUUUGAUAUAUUUGAAACAGCUGGCCCCUAAUCAACCCUGUUUGCAUUAACUUUUUAUACAAUGGAAGUCUUUCUAGGACAACUAUAAAGAGGAGCUGGGUACUGACCAAUGACAGCCUUCCUUAGUGGGAGGAUCUGCUUUUGAAUAGAACCAACAGUGACUUUGGCAGCUUCCUGGCAUUUGCCCUGCCCCUGCAAUUUGGGGAAUGGCAGAAGAACGAUAAGGAAAAGGCAUGAGAAGCCUCUCUCCUUUACAAAAUGUUUUUUAUUCAAUUUUUAACCAGGUUGGCUGUUUAGCUCUGAGCCCACAGCUGUGGCAUGUUUUUCCUUAUUUUAUAUUAAUCUUUUUCACAGCAACUGUCUGGGCUGAAAAUCCUGGGAAAGGGGCCUUGCUGCUUGCAAUAAAACUGCAUUUUUUAUCGGCACCAGGGUGUAAAAUGUCACUCGUGUAUGAUGUUUUAUGUUUUGCUGGGUAGAAAUUCAGUGUCACUUAUGACUUUCUGAGCAUUGUUUAGUUUCAUUACAUUGUACGGAGUCAAGUUUCAGCCCUCUUGUGAUAAAAUGGGGUUUUGAUAUGACUCUUUUGAUAAACGUGAAAUAUCAAAGAAUACCUACUAAAGAUAGCAGUUCUUUGGACUUCUAUUUGUUUGCCAAAUAGGCAUUUUACAUAAGGAAAACUGGAAGGGACCUUGAGAGGUCCCCUCAGAGCAGGACAAGUACCAUCCCUGACAGAUUUGUCCCAGAUCCCUAAAAGGCCCUCUGAAGGACUGAACUCAACCCUUGGUUUAGUAGGCCAAUGAUCAAACCACUGAGCUAACCCUCCAGUUUAGAAGAAAGCGAUGAAGUAUUUAUAUAUUUUCACAGAGAAUUUUAAACCCUUUCUGGGCAAUGAAACAUCAAUAAUAUGCACUCUUCUACUUUUAUUUAUAGGCACAGCUCUAAUUCCUAUCACUGCAGCAGCACAUAUAUAUGAGUGUCUACACAGCAGUGUUAUUUCAGAAUAGCUUGUCAUGGCUCCUUCCUCAC